UGGACAAUUACUGCUGAAGACCGAGCACCAUAUGCUCGCUGUAAUCGAUCGCUGCCUGAAAUGAAGGCCGACGGCGCAGCGCCGCUGCUGGUUCUUCUCCGUUGGCCACUAAACUGAAGAAGAGAAGGAAGAAGAACCUGUUUGAGGUGGCACAGUAUCUGCCCAAUUGGGGACUUGGGUACCACAGGGCUAAGAGCCACUGGUUCUGCGUCUCAUAUCAGAUCACCAAAAUCAAUCUUUGCAAGGUUUGUUUAUUGCUGGGUUUUGAGAAAUGAUAGGGAUCUGAGAUUGGUUUGAAUCUUCUAGUUUUGAAUAUGAUUGCUUGUCUGUAAUGUGGGAGUGGAGUUUGCUUUGCGUUUUCUUGAUUGUUUAAGGGCUUAGGGUUUGUUCUGGUUUUUUAAUUUUGACGGGAGUCCUUCAUAAGGAAGGUGGAUUUUACAUUUCAUGGAAUUGGCCUUUUUCUGCACUCGAUUUAGUUUUAUUUGUAUCAGUAGUACUUAGCUUUGUUACAUUAUUAGAUAGGAUUGGUUUCGAUACUUAUCUCGUAUAAGAGUUUCUAGGGUGAAGAAGUGACUCGAGGGAAUUAUAAUUAUCUAUUAGUUGGUUGGUUUUGCUAGUCGAAGUACCAGGGUUUACUCAAUUAGGCUUACUCUUACUACUCUGAUCAAUGUUUGUUUUAUGAUGGGUUGUUCAUUUCAUACUGAAAGUGUUCCAAGAUGACUAAACCAACUGAAACUGCUCCAGCAAAUUGGUUCUCUUGAUUGAAAAGAAGCUGGAAACAAAGAAAAUGGACGAGAUGCUGCUUAUAUCUUUUAUUACAUGAUCAUUUUUGUUGAAUAUAACUGGAGCAUAGCACUACUAAAAGUUGAGAUGCUGCAUUGCUUGUUUCAAAGGUUUUCUGCCAAAGACGAUUAACUGGUCUCUUAUGAUGUCAUUGUUCAUAUGCCUUUCAAUUUAGGAAGAACAAGUUCUCAAGUUAACUUUGCCAAGACUGCAAAUAUGAUGGCUCUUUGGGCAGAGGAACAAUGCUUCAAGUCGAAGGAGAAGCUGAAAAUUAGUUGUUUAGGACAUGUAACUUUCAUCAACUUCUUAUAACAGUUGGCAAACUUUUGGGCUACAAUGUAUUUCUGCAAAGUCAAGACCCUAAGACACCAUCCUCGUCGUGAUGAGGAUGGUAAUAAUUGAUGAAAAUGAAGCAAGGGAAGGAUAGAAAUGAUUAGAAUGUGUAUUAGGAGUUUCACAUUUUGGAUGUAAAUUAAUGUUCGGAACUUGGAACAUAUUUUUGUUUAUCUAUAAAUACUCUCAGUUUGUACUUUGA
Molecule: long non-coding RNA, 1318 nt
Organism: Rosa chinensis
Lineage: Eukaryota; Viridiplantae; Streptophyta; Magnoliopsida; Rosales; Rosaceae
Exons: 4
Source: RefSeq, a predicted model, not a curated record